Rhincodon typus (whale shark) is the source of this 510-nucleotide long non-coding RNA. RefSeq lists it as uncharacterized. NCBI's taxonomy places the organism in Eukaryota, Metazoa, Chordata, Chondrichthyes, Orectolobiformes, Rhincodontidae. The transcript has 3 exons. The record is from RefSeq and is a predicted model, not a curated record.
CCUCAAGGAAAUGGAAGAAUCCCAAUGGAUUCCGUUCUUGACUACUGGAUUGAAGUUCCAUCUUUUACAAGAGUCAGGAAUUGGCAUUUUCAAAACUGGGUGACUCUUUGCUGCACAAUUCAGCCAGUGCUCAGUGACUGAUGUGAUCUCUGCUGGCUUUGGGCAGAAGUGCUCUGAGGCUACCAGCCCUUCAAGGAUGCACACAUUUAGAGCUUCUGAAGAUCUCUGGCAAUAUUCUGCACAGAUUAGAAAUGGGAAUCGCUGACUUCAACCAGCAGUAGAGAAACACUGUGCUUGGGAUGUCCCAGAGAUGGCUUUAAUCCGACAUAGAUAAAUUAUAUGCAAAUCAAAGGAAGAUGGAGGAAUGAUGUUUUAUGCUGGAGUGCUACUAAAGAACUAAAAGUAGUAUCAGAAUUGAAAGGAACUUGAAACAAAACUUGUUUUUAUUAUCAAAAAGCAGAAGUUAAUUCAGAUUUAAAUUAUCAGUACUGUAUUACAUAAGCAGGCCAU